GAUUCUACACCUUCAUCUCCGGUGAAUUCUUCGUCGCCACCCCCUGAUUCUACCUUGGCGAUUCCUCCUUCUCUUGUUCCAUCUCUUCCUCAACAUUACACUCGUCGUUCACGACCUGUGGAUGCUUCCUUGGAUGAGUCGUCCUCUUCCUCUCAGCCUACUUAUGGCUUGCGUUCUCGUCCUCGUCCGCCUAUUGAUCGCUUUGGAUUUUCCACCGCUGGUGCUGCUGUUCUUGAGCCGACUUCUUACCGUCAGGCUAUUGUUCAUCCUGAAUGGCAGUUUGCGAUGGCAGAGGAGAUUGCUGCUCUUGAAUGCACUGGUACCUGGGAUCUUGUUUCUCUUCCUCCCGGAGUCCGUCCCAUCACUUGUAAGUGGGUCUACAAGGUUAAGACUCGCUCCGAUGGUUCUCUUGAGCGUCACAAAGCUCGUCUCGUGGCUCGUGGUUUUCAGCAGGAGCAUGGUCGUGAUUAUGACGAGACUUUUGCUCCUGUGGCCCAUAUGACCACUAUUUGUACACUUCUUGCCGUUGCCUCU
Molecule: ribosomal RNA, 534 nt
Filed under: Triticum aestivum (bread wheat)
Lineage: Eukaryota; Viridiplantae; Streptophyta; Magnoliopsida; Poales; Poaceae
Description: partial small subunit ribosomal RNA
Source: RNAcentral